Molecule: non-coding RNA, 30 nt
Filed under: Mus musculus (house mouse)
Lineage: Eukaryota; Metazoa; Chordata; Mammalia; Rodentia; Muridae
Source: RNAcentral
UCCAAUCCGAUUACCUUGGGCCCACACUCU